CGGCGCGAGGCGAAGCGCGGGGCGGCGCGGCGGGGCUCCUCCCCCCUUCUCCCCCCCCCCCCCCUCCGCUAACCUCCCUGCAGCCUGGCGCGCGCCGGCCGGGCCGCACCGCUGCGGGCUCGGCGCGCGCGGGCCAUGUCCGCCUUCUGCCUGGGCUUGGCCGGCCGAGCUUCAGCACCCGCCGAGCCGGACAGCGCCUGCUGCAUGGAGCUGCCCGCUGGGGCCGGGGACGCAGUCCGGAGUCCCGCCGCCGCUGCCGCCACCGCCACCGCCGCCGCCGCCGCCCUCGUCUCCUUCCCCGGGGGCCCCGGGGACCUGGAACUGGCCUUAGAGGAGGAGCUGGCGUUGCUGGCGGCUGGGGAGCGGCCGUCCGAGCCCGGGGAGCAUCCUCAGGAGGAGCCGGGGUCUCCGGCUGAGGGGCACGGGCCGCUGUCGCCGCUGUCGCCGCCGCCUACCCAGGAUCCCGAGCUGCUGUCGGUGAUCCGACAGAAGGAGAAGGACCUGGUGCUGGCGGCCCGGCUAGGCAAGGCACUGCUCGAGAGGAACCAGGACAUGAGCCGGCAGUACGAGCAGAUGCACAAGGAGCUGACCGACAAGCUGGAGCACUUAGAACAAGAGAAGCAUGAACUGAGAAGACGCUUUGAGAACCGAGAAGGGGAGUGGGAAGGACGCGUGUCGGAGCUGGAGACCGACGUGAAACAGCUGCAGCACGAGCUGGAGCGGCAGCAGGUCCAUCUGCGGGAAGCAGACCGAGAGAAGACCCGAGCUGUGCAGGAGCUGUCAGAACAGAACCAGAGGCUGCUGGACCAGCUCAGCAGGGCAUCCGAAGUUGAGAGACAGCUCUCCCUGCAGGUCCACGCACUCAGAGAAGACUUUCGGGAGAAAAAUUCAUCCACCAACCAGCACAUCAUCCGGCUGGAAAGCCUUCAGGCCGAGCAGGUUCUUGAAAUCAAGAUGCUGUCGGAUCGGAAACGGGAGCUAGAGCACAGGCUCAGCGCCACCUUAGAGGAGAAUGGUCUGCUUCAAGGGGCCGUGGAGGAGCUGCAGGACCGGGUGCUGAUCCUGGAAAGGCAGGGCCACGACAAAGACCUGCAGCUGCACCAGAGCCAGCUGGAGCUCCAGGAGGUGCGGCUGUCCUGCCGGCAGCUUCAGGUGACCGUGGAGGAGCUCAGGGAGGAGAGGAGCCUGCAGGGCUCCGCUGCCCCCAGCACAUCCCUGCUGUCGGAGAUCGAGCAGAGCAUGGAGGCCGAGGAGCUGGAGCAGGAGAGAGAGCAGCUGAGACUGCAGCUCUGGGAAGCCUACUGCCAGGUCCGCUACCUCUGCUCCCACCUUCGAGGGAGCGACAGCGCCGACUCCGCCGUGUCCACAGACUCCUCCAUGGACGAGUCCUCAGAGACCUCGUCCGCCAAGGAUGUGCCUGCUGGCAGCCUGCGCACUGCCCUCAGCGAUCUCAAGAGGCUGAUACAGAGCAUCGUAGAUGGCGUGGAGCCCACGGGUGCCCGGAGACUGGACGAUGAGUCAUUAGAAGAGCAGAUAAGGCAAACCAGUGAGGACUCCAGAGCCCUGAGAGAGCUCAUGGAGGGAGAGAGGGGUAAACUGAGGCAGAGCCUAGAAGAGCUGCAGCAACUCCACAGUCAGGUGACGCUGCUGAGCGUGGAGAUGAGCGCGCUGAAGGAGGAAAGGGACCGACUCAGAGUGACAUCUGAGGACAAGGAGCCCAAGGAGCAGCUGCAGAAGGCCAUCAGGGACCGGGAUGAGGCCAUCGCUAAAAAGAACGCUGUAGAGCUGGAACUUGCCAAGUGCAAGAUGGACAUGAUGUCUCUGAACAGCCAGCUGUUGGAUGCCAUUCAGCAGAAACUGAACCUCUCACAGCAGCUUGAGGCUUGGCAGUUUGCUUCCUCAGGGCUUUUUACUAUCUGGCUCCUUUGGUUUCUGAUCUAGUGGCCUUUCUCAGCUCCUGUACCAACAGCUUUAGUUGUACACCCCUCCUGCCUUUGAGGAUGACAUGCACAGGGUCAUUGACAGGCAGCUGAUGGACACGCACCUGAAGGAACAGAGCCGGCCUGCUGCCGCCUUCUCUAGGGGCCACGGCGUAGGGCGGGGGCAGGAACCCAGCACCAUGGACGGCAAACGGCUCUUCUCCUUCUUCAGGAAAAUUUAGGUGGGGAGGAGUCAGGCCGUGGAAGAUGGAGAACUAGAGGCAGUUGAAAAGGGUCUUCCGUCACCUUCAGCUGGAGCCAGUGGGUUCCAGUGGGUUCAUUCCCUUUUGUUAGUGUGAUGGAGAAGUGGGGCCUGCCUUGUCCUCUGAAGGCUGCUCCCUGCCAAGGGACAGGAAUGAAUCCUGUCCCCACUGCCCAAGCCAAGCCUCAGCCUGGGCUUCCCCAGGACCCUGCUAGUGAGCAGGGCUCCAGCCUCUUCUCAUGCAGUCCAUUGAUGGGCUCUGCCACUCAGACCCAGCUCCUCACAGCCCACCCCAAAAGCUCUGCUGCCUCCUUGGAUUUGAACAUGGGGACAGACUGAGGUCCUCCUGUGCAUGCCUCAGGAGGCCUGAGCCUCCGUUCCUGCACCAGCCGCUUGCCUGGAGUAGGGGAGGCACGGCCCCUCACCCAUGUGCAUGCCCCUGUGCCGGAGUCCUGUAUGGCAGGAGCCCCAGCCUAUGGCUUAGGGCCUAAGAACCGGGUUACCCAUCUCCACCGAGGCCAUUCCGUACCCCCAGGGACAAUCCUGUCUUCUGGCUGCCUCCACUCAGCUUCCUCCAGGGCAGACAGUCCUUACCCCUAGUGAGGCCCAGACUUUCCCUCGUGGGGUAGGGCUGGGAGAGCACUGUUCUUCCUCCACAGCUCCUGCCCACCUCAAAUCAACCUGGCCAAGUCAAGUGCAGGCCACAGGCUGGCCUCCAAGGGGACCAGUCUAACCACCCACACACGGAAGGCAGCGUGGGGGCCAAGGGUGGAUGGGCUGAGGCUGCUGGGAGCCUCCAGAUCCUGCCCACCAGGCCUACAGGGGACAAGGCCUGCAGCCUGCUGCUUCUCCUUCCGCAGCAGCCGUCCCCAUCUCUGCUGAGGCCCCACUCAGAGGCUCUGUGGGCCCAGCCUGCAGCUGCUUACCACUCACAAAGCCUCCUGCCCUCAACGGGGAAAAGCACAGCAGGGCUGAGCAGAAAGAAUGUACUUAAAGAUGUGUACAUACCACAGUGCUGUAAUUUUGUAUGUAGCAAUUGUGUAAAUACACGUAUGGAUUUUAUAACACACAUAUAUAAAUCUAUAAAGGCAUAUUUUUAGAAAAACAGCGCACCACUGCUUCUUUUGAAAAUAGUCUAAAUAAGAAUAAAAUUAAUUUCUACAGA
This is an RNA transcript of Onychomys torridus (southern grasshopper mouse), 3346 nucleotides long. It is a transcript of the gene named BICD family like cargo adaptor 1, with no coding region annotated. Lineage: Eukaryota; Metazoa; Chordata; Mammalia; Rodentia; Cricetidae. The transcript has 12 exons. The record is from RefSeq and is a predicted model, not a curated record.